CGCGCUGGGCUGCUUUUCGACGUGUGAAAAUGAACAAGGUUUUGAAAAUAGAUUAACCCUGUGAAGUUCGUUAUUUACCAAAGACAUAUUUCAGCUCCAUAGCUGUCAUUUUGGGAGAAAAAAAAAAAUGAUGAAAGCCACACAUCGUGAUGCAUGCCUGUAGUCCCAGCUACUUGGGAGGCUGAGGCAGGAGGAUCCCAGAAUUGAGCCCAGCCUCAUAACUUAACAGGUCCCUGUCUCAAAAUAAAAUUUCAAAAAAUGAUCUGGGGAUGUAGCUCAGUGAUAGAAUGCAUACCUAGCAUGCCUGAAGCCCUGAGUUCAGUCCCCACUACUGCAAAAGUAAAAUAAAUUAACAAGAUUAAGGCCAAGGAAACUUUUGAAAAUUGUUCUCUAUCUUGACUGCACUGGUGAUUACAGACUACACAGUUGCCAAAGUUCAUUUACCUGUACACUUCAAACAGAUUUUACCAUGUGGAAGUUCUCCUCGGUAAAGCUGGAAAAUAAAGGAGCUGGUGAUUCCUGCAAGGCCCUGGGAGGGUCUACAGCUGCCUACCUCUGGAGGCCAGAGCCAGCCUCAGCCAACAAGUAGGUUUGUCCCAGAGGAGCACAGGGCAGGGCUAACUCAAGUGGCCUAGAGCUUGAGAAAAGUCAACAGCAUGGGCACCAGAGAGCUGAAAGCGGCGUCCUCAAAGCCAGCCCGUGUUAACCCUGUGUUAGCAUCUGUGUCUUCUGGGAAUCGUUUGACGUACGCUGUUUCACUUUAACCAGCACAUAAACUCUGCUAAGCCAGCCGUGCUCACAGCCUCUGUUUUCCCUAGACAACCUGGUGAUAGCCUGGUGCCAGUUACCAGUUACUGCCUCUUAGCUCCAGAUUUGCUGUCAAGAUCCAGAGGGAGGUUUCCCAGGCGCUCUGCACAUUCAGACCACAGGGACUUCACCGUCUCACCUGCUCAGUGAUGUCUGCAUCUUGUGUGGGGCAGAAAGAAACUCUUUGGCCUAUCUCAGAACCCAAGAAAGUAAAAAACAAAAACUAAGGAACGUGGGGCUGGGGAUGUGGCUCAAGUGGUAGCGCGCUCGCCUGACGUGUGCGGCCCGGGUUCGAUCCUCAGCACCACAUACAAACAAAGAUGUUGUGUCUGCCGAAAAACUAAAAAAAAAAAAAAUAUAUUAAAAUAUAAAAAAAAAAAACCUAAGGAACGUAACAAAGAACAGCCAGUGCUCCUGCCCCU
Long non-coding RNA from Ictidomys tridecemlineatus (thirteen-lined ground squirrel), 1229 nucleotides. RefSeq lists it as uncharacterized. The record is from RefSeq and is a predicted model, not a curated record. NCBI's taxonomy places the organism in Eukaryota, Metazoa, Chordata, Mammalia, Rodentia, Sciuridae.